UACUACCGAAGCUACGGCAUCAGUAAUGAUGGGUAGGGGAGCUUCCCAUACGGGUUGAAGCAUGACCGUAAGGACAUGUGGACAGUAUGGGAGUGAGAAUGUUGGCAUGAGUAGCGAGAUGUGGGUGAGAAUCCCACAGGCCGUAAACCCAAGGUUUCCAGGGGAAGGUUCGUCCGCCCUGGGUUAGUCGGGACCUAAGCUGAGGCCGAAAGGCGUAGGUGAUGGACAACAGGUUGAUAUUCCUGUACUACCGAUAACCGUUUGAGAGAUGGGAUGACACAGUAGGAUAAGCUAAGCACACUGUUGGUUAUGUGUGCCCAAGCAUUGAGGCAGUCAAAGUAGGCAAAUCCGCUUUGAUAAUGCUGGGAUGUGAUGGGGAGCGAAAUUUAGUAGCGAAGUAGCUGAUUUCACACUGUCAAGAAAAGUCUCUAUCGAGGUUAAAGGUACCCGUACCGCAAACCGACACAGGUG
This 471-nucleotide ribosomal RNA is filed under the name Clostridioides difficile. RNAcentral's name for it is "bacterial LSU rRNA". It matches the Rfam family "Bacterial large subunit ribosomal RNA", at positions 1189 to 1665 of the family's 2925-position model. The record is from RNAcentral. Lineage: Bacteria; Bacillati; Bacillota; Clostridia; Peptostreptococcales; Peptostreptococcaceae.